AGUGGAGGUGACAGUUUAACUGGCAUACAAGGCAGUUUCACAGGAGCGCCAGGAUCUAAAAGAAAGAAAGAGAGCACUGGUGUUAAUGUUCAUGUCAGUAAGAAGGAGAUGAGAGUAUCUGCCUGGGUGAGCAGGGCUAGCACAGAGCCAAGGCGUUUUCUGCCUUUUGAACUGCAACACAGUGAAGGAAAACUGGGAUGCAUGGGAAGCCAGGACAGGUCCUAAGUGAGCAAAGGAAUAUUCCAGACCAUAUGGCAUCAUGCUCGGCAUGUAAAGCAAAGGUUUGCUACUAAAUGGUUCUUCUGAAGUGUUAAUGGUACACUGGAGCUGUGCACCACGUACACCAAGUCUGAUGCUUCUUAGUCACAGAACAUGGCUGGAGAACUGGUCAGCACACAUUAAAGAUACAACUGCUGCAGAUUAAGUGCUAGGAACUUCUGGAUGUAUGGCAGCAAAGGUUGCUGCAGCAGGGGUUGUAGAAAGGCUUAUUAAAAUCUUCAAAUUCUGCCCCAGCUCAACUACUGCAUGGAGAAAGAGGACAUGCCGGGGGAUCCUGGGCUUGUGGCAGAGCUGGCUGUGUUUGCUAUACUGCCAGUGGCAGAAAUGCUCUUUCUGGACUCCUUGCCAAAUGUAAGACAGAACUGUACCCUGACAGCAAGAAAGGACAGCAAACUUCUGGGUGGUACAAGAAGAAACACAGCCAGGAGAUUCUGCUACUGAUGGAAGGAUUCCCUUCUAUUCACCAGUCCUUAGACUGUAUCUAAACUACUGUGCAAGCUUAGUAGCCACCAGGAAAGGUAUCAAAAAAUCAGAAUGAGUUGAGUACAGGGUCACUGCAGUGGCUGAGGGCUACAGCACCUGAGGUACUGAGGUGUGUUCAGCUUGGAGAAAAGACAGCUUGUGGGGGGAACACUAAAGAGCAGCCUCCCAGUACCUACAAGUUAUCAACAACUCUUCAGUGCUGUCUGGUGGGAGGAGGAAAGACAGUGGAAAAAAGUGAAACAAAAGACGUUCAAGACUCUUUUGAGGCAAGUGUCUUCCCUGCCAUGAGAAGAGGCAGUUAGUGGAGCAGGUUUAUCCAGAUAGGUUGUACAGCUGGCAUCCUCUGAAGUUUUCAAGACCCAGCUGGUCAAAGGCCUGAGCAACCUGGUCUGAUCCCAUACUUGGCUCUGUUUUGAGCAGGAGGUUGGAUUAAAGGUCUGCUCAGGUUUUUCCUCACUUGAAUGACCUUAUACUGUGACCUUUGCUGUACUAUAUAAAACUACAAGUAAUACAGCUUGUCAUAAAGUUAAUGAGAUACUCUUUAAAUCCUUCCAAGUAAUUAAUUAUAUAAAAAAUGUGCAAAAAACUCUCCCAAACCAACAAACAGUGCAAAAACCAGUGUGGCCUGUUGAGGGAGCUCCAUGGGGCGAUGUGCCUGAUAUUUACUGGCACCAUUUGGACAAGUAGCUUUUGCUUUUUCAGGUCUUCUCUCCUAUAAUCACUUGUGCCUAAAUGGUGAGAGUCUCUUUUCUUGUUUCAAUGAGUUUUUGAACAAGUCAAAAACUGUUGUCAAAGGUUUGCCAUGCAUCUAGGGCUGACCAUGGCAAGAUCUGCAGUCAUGUCUUCCGGGGAAAAUUUGAGACAGAAAUUCUUUGCUGUUCUUCUGUACCACAUAUGCCUUCAAGAUUCAGACUGAGUUUGAAGAACAAAAGCAAGGCAUGAUUAGCCCUAAAGGUUGAAAAGUAUAGCUCUGCAUGAAUUCCUGUGUGGGGCCUUGAAAAGGGUUUCAAAGAUGAGAAGAUUUCCUGAUGUCUGUAUGUGAUAGGUAUCCCUCUCCAGGAAGAAGCACAGAGAGGAAUUGUAGAGGGAGAAACUGCACCAGGGCCCAGUUUCCAUGAGAACCCAUUGAAGGAGAACUGCUUUUGCUCUGCUGCUUCUCCCUUGACACACAGUGAGAGAACUGUCCAUUGUCUCCACGUGAAUGUAACCUCUCUUCCUGAAUGGAGCCUGCCAGAGCUGGCAGCUGGAGGUAACAUCACCGUGGAGGAAGCUUCUGGAUUAUGUCUUGGGCUCAUCUACAGAGGAGUCUUCUGAUACAUAUGUGACUAUUGCAUUAUAAAAUACUCCAGAGUAUUUACUGAACAAAUUGUAGUCACAAAAACUUUUACAAAGUUGUCACUAAAAACCAGCUGUGUUGUGGCAAGGCACCAGGACCCCAGGCAUUCACGUUCUCAAAUCUCAUUCUGGUCUUGUCUGCAUUGUCAGAAGCAACUUUUGAGGACUUUAAAUAUUUCGUACCUAUUAAAUGUUUGCCUCUAAUUAUAAAUUAGUUCUGACACUACACAGACAUAACUAGAAAGCACAAUAUCAGAACUAAAAAUGUGCUAUGUGUCUCUUCAAAAUCUUGAAUGAAAAAAGCAAAAGAAUGCAAAAAGCUUAAAUGGAAUAGAUAAGUGGCCAGAUAUAACCAAAGCUUCAUACUAUUCUAAUAUUAGGCUGAAUUUUGACUCAAGCAGACUCAGGUGCUCCUGAGAACCCAUCUUAUUUUGUUCUUUGGUGUUUUAGGAACUUUAUGGGUUACUGGUGCUUCAGUUGAAAAAUAUCUAAUUAAUUUCAGAAAGCAUUAUCUGCACUGGUGAAAAUUAACAGCUUAAUGAAUCAAGAUCAAAGGGAAUUUUCCAACACUGGGGUCUAUCAAAUCAGACAUGCCUAGUCUUCCUCUCACUUGACCAUUAAAGAUUUUAUGUUAAGCUAGGAACUUGAACACCAGAACCCCAAUUAAAUUUGGUCCCAGGUGAUUAUUUCAACUCUUCCUAAAUUUUCAGUGAAGGAAGUAGAAGUGUCCUAAAUGCCUGGGUUCUGCACGUGAAUAUCAGAGAAAUAAAACAAUGAAAGAAAUUCUAUCUUGUGAACAUUGUCCAGUACUAAUCAGUCUAAUGCAAAUCAUGUUUGAAAACCAGUAGAAGGCUCACCAGGAGGUGACUGAACAACAGGACAUGCAGAGCAGUGAAACAGCAGUAACAAAACAGAUAAGGCUUGUGUUUUUCUCUUGGAAUUGCCUGUCUUCUAAGGCUAUGCGUGCACUUCCACACCCAGUGCUGUGACAGGGAUGUUCCCUAUGGAGGCAGCACCAUCAAGACCACAGGACACGGUGUGAGGAAAAGCAUGGAGCAUCUUCUGCAGCAGUGUUGGUACCACUCACAGUGAUUGCCCUGCAGUCUGCUCUUGGCUCCAGCCCUGUUUCUACACUGUCCCAUCCCUACAGAGCCGCAGCCUUGAGAAGAAGCAUGCCAAGGCUGUGUGAUUUAUAUUUGCUGAAAGCAAUUCUCUCUUCCUUUCACCUUUAAAAUGGAAUUUUUUUGUUUCAUUCUCCACAAAAUUAACUGUGCUCUUAUGUGUUUAUUUAGGUCCACUCUUUUAUGUGCAUUUCUUAUCAAUUGAAAGGCCAAUCUUUGUCUUGGCACAGGUGGAUAGAUAUUUGAGAUGGCUCAAAAUGCUUUCAGAGGAAAGGAAUGUUUCUUUUCCAUUUCUGAAACCUGUAAUAAGCUCUUUGUCAAGCCUUGAAAGUCAGUCUGCAUAACUUUUUGAAGAACUUUGGAAUAUUUUCACAGCAAGAGGUGGUCUGACUUUUUUCCCUCAAGGUUUGUAUUUAAAAUAUUUUUCCUUUUUUUUUUUGCCUCUGACCAUGUUUGUAGUGAUUUUUUAAUACAUGUUUGUACA
This is a long non-coding RNA of Passer domesticus (house sparrow), 3702 nucleotides long. RefSeq lists it as uncharacterized. NCBI's taxonomy places the organism in Eukaryota, Metazoa, Chordata, Aves, Passeriformes, Passeridae. The transcript has 3 exons. The record is from RefSeq and is a predicted model, not a curated record.